This 253-nucleotide ribosomal RNA is filed under the name uncultured bacterium. RNAcentral describes it as "partial 16S ribosomal RNA". It matches the Rfam family "Bacterial small subunit ribosomal RNA", at positions 524 to 776 of the family's 1533-position model. The record is from RNAcentral.
UACGAAGGGGGCUAGCGUUGCUCGGAAUCACUGGGCGUAAAGGGUGCGUAGGCGGGUCUUUAAGUCAGGGGUGAAAUCCUGGAGCUCAACUCCAGAACUGCCUUUGAUACUGAGGAUCUUGAGUCCGGGAGAGGUGAGUGGAACUGCGAGUGUAGAGGUGAAAUUCGUAGAUAUUCGCAAGAACACCAGUGGCGGAGGCGGCUCACUGGCCCGAUACUGACGCUGAGGUGCGAAAGCGUGGGGAGCAAACAGG